Molecule: ribosomal RNA, 450 nt
Filed under: uncultured bacterium
Lineage: Bacteria
Description: partial 16S ribosomal RNA
Rfam family: Bacterial small subunit ribosomal RNA
Source: RNAcentral
GUGGGGAAUAUUGGACAAUGGGCGAAAGCCUGAUCCAGCCAUGCCGCGUGUGUGAAGAAGGUCUUCGGAUUGUAAAGCACUUUAAGUUGGGAGGAAGGGCAGUAAGUUAAUACCUUGCUGUUUUGACGUUACCGGCAGAAUAAGCACCGGCUAACUUCGUGCCAGCAGCCGCGGUAAUACGAAGGGUGCAAGCGUUAAUCGGAAUUACUGGGCGUAAAGCGCGCGUAGGUGGUUCGUUAAGUUGGAUGUGAAAGCCCCGGGCUCAACCUGGGAACUGCAUCCAAAACUGGCGAGCUAGAGUACGGUAGAGGGUGGUGGAAUUUCCUGUGUAGCGGUGAAAUGCGUAGAUAUAGGAAGGAACACCAGUGGCGAAGGCGACUACCUGGACUGAUACUGACACUGAGGUGCGAAAGCGUGGGGAGCAAACAGGAUUAGAUACCCGAGUAGUCC